RNAcentral lists this long non-coding RNA (710 nucleotides) under Homo sapiens (human). Its description in RNAcentral is "HSALNT0359676". Lineage: Eukaryota; Metazoa; Chordata; Mammalia; Primates; Hominidae. The record is from RNAcentral.
AUCAAGAACGAAAGUCAGAAGUUUUUUUUAACAGUCCGGGUGCAGUGGCUCAUGCUUGUAAUCCCAGCACUUUGGGAUAUGCAUACAUAGAUUUACAUACAUAUACAAAGGAGGCUGAGGCAGGGGAUCACCCGAGGUCGGGAGUUCGAGACCAGCCUGACCAACAUGGAGAAACCUCAUCUCUACUAAAAAUACAAAAAUUGGCAGGGCAUGGUGGCGCAUGCCUGUAAUCCCAGCUACUCGGGAGGCUAAGGCAGGAGAAUUGCUUGAACUCGGAAGGCAGAGGUCGAGGUGAGCCGAGAUGGUGCCACUGCACUCCAGCCUGGGCAAUAAGAGUGAAACUCCAACUCAAAAAAAAAAAAAAGAGAGAGAGAGAGAAAGAUGUAGAAUGACAAGAAGGAGAAAUUAGGCCUUCUAUUUUCAGACAGGCUGGACAAAUCCUGCAGAAGGAGUCAUUAUUGAACUUUGUGUCAGUUGGGUCCUCUGGGCAGCAGAUGCAGAGACAAAAUAAGAUUUUGGUGGUUGGGGGCAGUAACCCCUGUGAAAGACAAAUGAGGAAGGAAGCAGAAUUGGAUAGGAAAAGCCUCAAACCAUGAUGUAGCAUGUAUCAGAAUUUCCUUCCUUUUAAAGGCUGAAUAAUAUUCCAUUGUAUGAAUAUAUCCCAUUUUAUUUAUCUAUUCAUCCAUCGAUGGACAUGUGGGUCACUCUCA